RNAcentral lists this ribosomal RNA (441 nucleotides) under uncultured bacterium. Its description in RNAcentral is "partial 16S ribosomal RNA". It matches the Rfam family "Bacterial small subunit ribosomal RNA", at positions 338 to 795 of the family's 1533-position model. The record is from RNAcentral.
CCUACGGGAGGCAGCAGUGGGGAAUAUUGCACAAUGGGGGAAACCCUGAUGCAGCGACGCCGCGUGAGUGAAGAAGUAUUUCGGUAUUUAAAGCUCUAUCAGCAGGGAAGAAGAAAGACGGUACCUGACUAAGAAGCCCCGGCUAACUACGUGCCAGCAGCCGCGGUAAUACGUAGGGGGCGAGCGUUAUCCGGAUUUACUGGGUGUAAAGGGAGCGUAGACGGCUGUGCAAGUGUGAAGUGAAAGCCCAGGGCUCAACCAUGGGACUGCUUUGGAAACUGGGUAGCUAGAGUGCUGGAGACGUAAGUGGAAUUCGUAGUGUAGCGGUGAAAUGCGUAGAUAUUAGGAGGAACACCAGUGGCGAAGGCAGCUUACUGGACAGUAACUGACGUUGAGGCUCGAAAGCGUGGGUAGCAAACAGGAUUAGAUACCCUUGUAGUC